RNAcentral lists this ribosomal RNA (253 nucleotides) under uncultured bacterium. RNAcentral's name for it is "partial 16S ribosomal RNA". It matches the Rfam family "Bacterial small subunit ribosomal RNA", at positions 524 to 776 of the family's 1533-position model. The record is from RNAcentral.
UACAGAGGUCCCGAGCGUUGUUCGGAUUCAUUGGGCGUAAAGGGUGCGUAGGCGGCGGGGAGAGUCUGAUGUGAAAUCCUGGGGCUCAACCCUGGAACUGCAUUGGAUACUUCCUUGCUAGAGUACUGGAGAGGAAACUGGAAUUUACGGUGUAGCAGUGAAAUGCGUAGAGAUCGUAAGGAAGACCAGUGGCGAAGGCGAGUUUCUGGACAGUUACUGACGCUGAGGCACGAAGGCCAGGGGAGCAAACGGG